This 395-nucleotide ribosomal RNA is filed under the name uncultured bacterium. RNAcentral's name for it is "partial 16S ribosomal RNA". It matches the Rfam family "Bacterial small subunit ribosomal RNA", at positions 523 to 918 of the family's 1533-position model. The record is from RNAcentral.
AUACGUAGGGUGCAAGCGUUAAUCGGAAUUACUGGGCGUAAAGCGUGCGCGGGCGGUUUUGUAAGACAGUGGUGAAAUCCCCGGGCUCAACCUGGGAACUGCCAUUGUGACUGCAAGGCUGGAGUGCGGCAGAGGGGGAUGGAAUUCCGCGUGUAGCAGUGAAAUGCGUAGAUAUGCGGAGGAACACCGAUGGCGAAGGCAAUCCCCUGGGCCUGCACUGACGCUCAUGCACGAAAGCGUGGGGAGCAAACAGGAUUAGAUACCCUGGUAGUCCACGCCCUAAACGAUGUCAACUGGUUGUUGGGUCUUCAUUGACUCAGUAACGAAGCUAACGCGUGAAGUUGACCGCCUGGGGAGUACGGCCGCAAGGUUGAAACUCAAAUGAAUUGGCGGGG